RNAcentral lists this ribosomal RNA (301 nucleotides) under uncultured Bacteroidota bacterium. Its description in RNAcentral is "bacterial SSU rRNA". It matches the Rfam family "Bacterial small subunit ribosomal RNA", at positions 338 to 637 of the family's 1533-position model. The record is from RNAcentral. Lineage: Bacteria; Pseudomonadati; Bacteroidota.
CCUACGGGGGGCAGCAGUGAGGAAUAUUGGUCAAUGGACGCAAGUCUGAACCAGCCAAGUAGCGUGCAGGAUGACGGCCCUCUGGGUUGUAAACUGCUUUUAGUUGGGAAUAAAAAAGAGGACGUGUCCUCUAUUGUAUGUACCUUCAGAAAAAGGACCGGCUAAUUCCGUGCCAGCAGCCGCGGUAAUACGGAAGGUCCAGGCGUUAUCCGGAUUUAUUGGGUUUAAAGGGAGCGUAGGCGGAUUCUUAAGUCAGUGGUGAAAGACGGUGGCUCAACCAUCGUUAGCCAAUGACACUGGU